UCUUCUCUGCCGACGCCGAAACCAAUUCUCCUUCCCUUCCUGCGACGCCGACGCCACUGCCGAUCCACCGCAGGUGCGUCUGUGCCCUAGUGUCUCCACCGACGCCGAGCAGUGCCGGCCAUCUCUCCUCUUCCUCCAUUCCGAGAUUUUUCCAGCCGGUUCUUCUCGGACGCCCUCUGCCCUAGAUUUGGGCCACAGCCGACCAAGCUCCUUGCCCUGAAUCUGCCGAGCCUCACUUUCAUCUCUUCUCCUCUGCCCUAGUUUUCCUGGUGUCGUUGUCUUGGUACCACACUGCCGCCGGCCAUCAGGAUCAGCCGAGUUCUGUGUGAUUUUGGAGGUCACGGAUUGGUGUGGUUUGGUUGGGAAGGGACUGCUGAUACAGAGUUGAGAUUUAGUAACUUUGUGAUCCCCAGCAGCGGCUCUGAUCUUGUUUCAGCAACCAACGUCUUUGAUUUUGGAUCAACAGUGAUACAUACGAAUUGAGGACUUUGACGCGAGACGAGUAUCUCGGAGUCAGAUUGGACCUUUCUAUUUU
This is a long non-coding RNA of Zingiber officinale, 535 nucleotides long. RefSeq lists it as uncharacterized. The transcript is spliced from 3 exons. Lineage: Eukaryota; Viridiplantae; Streptophyta; Magnoliopsida; Zingiberales; Zingiberaceae. The record is from RefSeq and is a predicted model, not a curated record.